CUGGCUCAGAUUGAACGCUGGCGGCAGGCCUAACACAUGCAAGUCGAGCGGCAGCGGGAAAGUAGCUUGCUACUUUUGCCGGCGAGCGGCGGACGGGUGAGUAAUGCCUGGGAAAUUGCCCAGUCGAGGGGGAUAACAGUUGGAAACGACUGCUAAUACCGCAUACGCCCUACGGGGGAAAGCAGGGGACCUUCGGGCCUUGCGCGAUUGGAUAUGCCCAGGUGGGAUUAGCUUGUUGGUGAGGUAAUGGCUCACCAAGGCGACGAUCCCUAGCUGGUCUGAGAGGAUGAUCAGCCACACUGGAACUGAGACACGGUCCAGACUCCUACGGGAGGCAGCAGUGGGGAAUAUUGCACAAUGGGGGAAACCCUGAUGCAGCCACGCCGCGUGUGUGAAGAAGGCCUUCGGGUUGUAAAGCACUUUCAGCGAGGAGGAAGGGUUGAUACCUAAUACGUAUCAGCUGUGACGUUACUCGCAGAAGAAGCACCGGCUAACUCCGUGCCAGCAGCCGCGGUAAUACGGAGGGUGCAAGCGUUGAUCGGAAUUACUGGGCGUAAAGCGCACGCAGGCGGUUGGAUAAGUUAGAUGUGAAAGCCCCGGGCUACACCUGNGAAUUGCAUUUAAAACUGUCCAGCUAGAGUCUUGUAGAGGGGGGUAGAAUUCCAGGUGUAGCGGUGAAAUGCGUAG
This 687-nucleotide ribosomal RNA is filed under the name uncultured bacterium. RNAcentral's name for it is "bacterial SSU rRNA". It matches the Rfam family "Bacterial small subunit ribosomal RNA", at positions 19 to 693 of the family's 1533-position model. The record is from RNAcentral.